This 494-nucleotide ribosomal RNA is filed under the name uncultured Tistrella sp. RNAcentral's name for it is "bacterial SSU rRNA". It matches the Rfam family "Bacterial small subunit ribosomal RNA", at positions 903 to 1382 of the family's 1533-position model. The record is from RNAcentral. Lineage: Bacteria; Pseudomonadati; Pseudomonadota; Alphaproteobacteria; Geminicoccales; Geminicoccaceae.
CUCAGAAACUACAAAGGAAGUUGACGGGGCCCGGCACAAGCGGUGGAGCAUGUGGUUUAAUUCGAAGCAACGCGCAGAACCUUACCAGCCCUUGACAUGGACGUCGCGACCCUGGAGACGGGGUUUUCGGUUCGGCCGGACGUCACACAGGUGCUGCAUGGCUUUGCGUCAGCUCGUGUCGUGAGAUGUUGGGUUAGGUCCCGCAACGAGCGCAACCCUCAUCCUUAGUUGCCAUCAGUUCGGCUGGGCACUCUAGGGAAACUGCCGGUGAUAAGCCGGAGGAAGGUGGGGAUGACGUCAAGUCCUCAUGGCCCUUAUGGGCUGGGCUACACACGUGCUACAAUGGCGACUACAGUGGGCAGCGACAUCGCGAGGUGAAGCUAAUCUCAAAAAGUCGUCUCAGUUCGGAUUGUACUCUGCAACUCGAGUGCAUGAAGUCGGAAUCGCUAGUAAUCGCGGAACAGCAUGCCGCGGUGAAUACGUUCCCGGGCCUU